GAAAACCAAACAUGGUCAAACAUUAGGUGCUCACAACUGCCCUUCUUUGCUUAGAAAUAUGAAGAGUUUUCAGAAAAAGACAAAGUGGGCCGUGUGACUAAUUUUUGACCAUAUAAUUAUUCAGAAGAGGAAAAAAACAAAAAUAAAAGGUGCAACCGAGUCGUGAUUUUGGACAACCUACAUAUCUCGGGUUAUAAGGGAAUUAGGUCGCGUGUAGUUUAAGAAGUUUUGGUAGAAUGAUGAGUUCGAGAGCCGAGUGAGGUUCAGUCGAGGCUCCGGUCUGUGGUCCUGUUAUUACAUCAAAAUCAAAAUUAAAACACUAACUAAGCCUAUCAGCUACGAGUUACAAGAUUCCUAUCUAUGAGUUCUCGGAAGCACGAUCUUGAGUCUUGGUUGGUUCUUCAUGUGGAUUCUAAUCUGAAUAUUGAUGAUUGUUAGCUGCAGGUGCUCGUUCAUUCCUUUUUCAACUUCUCGGAUCAAGGAGGGACAUGCAAAGCUUGUGACUUCAAUCACGUCUUGAGCAGUCCACGUUUUUUCUCUGCUUCUGCACUUUGAGUUCACUUCUUUUUCUUUUUCUUCUUUUUUCUUUUAUUAUGGAUUGAGACUCCUUCAUUUUAUCGUCUCGAACUCUUUGCCUCAAAGUAAAACCUACUCAGACACCAAAACAAACAAACAAACAAACACAAUGCUUCUACCCCAGUUUUUACUAAGAAAAUUUCAUGAGUUAUUAGCAACAAAACUCUAUUCUAAUUUAUUAUUGGAAGCAAAGAAAAAAGGUCGGGAUUGUUUAUCCAUGGGAAAAAAAUUAGGGAGUGGAGACCAUAUAUCUAAUAAAUAAAAUCAGUUAGGGAUUGGAGGCCCUAUGUUGGAAAAUCAUCAAUUAGGAAGUGGUUACCCUUUGUUGGCAUCAAGGAGUGGUUACCCUUUAUUGGUAUCAGGUUAUGCUGAAAUCAACUAGGGAGUGGAGACCAUAUGUAGGCAUCAACUAGAGAAUGCAGACCUUAUGUUGGUAUCAGGUUAUGCUGGCAUCAACUAGGGAGUGUAGAACCUAUGUUGAUAUCAACUAGGGAGUGGUGACCCUAUGUUGGCAUCAGGUUAUGCUGGUGAUAACUAGGGAUUAUGGUUCAUUUUACGCUCCUUCUUAAUUGAGUUUUGAUUAAGAGUGUAUACAAAAUAUUCCCAAAAGCUUACCUGUUAUACUUGUUUGCAAGGUUUGGUCAAGACGGUAAGUAGGUAACAAUUACUCUGAACCAGCUCAAGAAGGAGUGAGAUAUACACAAGUACCAAGAACAAGUCCAAGCACAGUACAACAGAUCCAUUGCGGCCACAUUACAUUUAGUGCGGUCCGCAGUGAGGAAAAUUAGAGAUGUGUUUAUUUUGGAAACUCAAGAAAUGCAUCCGCAAAGAAUUUUGUGUGGACCGCAUUAGCCUCACCGCGGCCGCAAUCGACAUUGUGCGGUCAGCAAUAAUGGGUUCAGAGAGUUGAGAAUUUUGAGGUUAAUGCUAGUGCAUUCCGCGGUCCUUUUUGUGCAGACCACAGUAGAAGCCACCACGACUGCAGUACAUUUUAUGUGGCCCGUGGUGACCAAGUUCAGAGAGCAGAUACCUAUACCCAUGAAGUCUCACCGCGGCCGUACUCGAUUUCUUGUGGUCACCGGUACCCCCGCAGGGGUAUUUUUAUCCAGAAAAUUCGGCCUAGUAUAAAUACUUUCUUUUCCCAUUUUUAGGUCAUCAGUUGUAAUCUGACUUUGGGCUAAGCACGCGAACAACUGUUCUUAACCAUUUUGAGUAAUUUUAUAGUGGUGUUAUCAUUGAAUCUUCAAUUUUUAGCUAGUAAUUAAAUCUUAUGGAUUUUUCUUCAUAUAUUUAUCAGUUGUUUUCUAUUACUAUGAGUAUCUAGACCAAUUAGCUAAGGUUGUGGCUCAACCCUAGUGUGGAUAUUUGAUGGGUCUUGAGUUUUAAGGCUCGAAUGUCUAUGGGUGUUUGGUAUUUGGACUAAUUUGUGUUUUCCAUGUUGCAUUAGUGGUUGCAAACACUAAUUUGUCCCUAUUUGACUUGGUCUCUUCUUGAGAAAGAGAUCUUGAGUCUAGAAAAUUAGUCCAACAAGGAAUUGGGGUGUAUUCAAGAGACUGAUAGCCCCAAUUAAUGGGUUAAACCAAGAUAUAGUAAUACUCAGCUUGAACCUAAAUUGCUUGUACAAAUUAUCAUAUACAAUUGGUCUUGAGAAAGUUAAUUAGGGAAAAAUCAUUCAAACACUUGAGAGAUAUAGAGUGAGAACUUUCGUGCAUUGGUUAUAUCGUAAUCCCCAACAUGAAAACCUUACCUUAGAUUCGAGAACCCGUCAAGUAUUCACCUAGGAAAAAGUCACUUCCCUAGUGCCUUUUUAAAGAAUUAGCUAACCUUUCAGGUAUAUUACUCUUAGCUUAAUUUAGCAUUUUAUUAGCAUAAUAUUAGAAGUAAUCUAAAUACCAACUAUGAUUGGAAGUGCAGUUCAGAGCACUAAACACCUCUAGUUUAGAUAGGAAUCCAAUUCCCACUUCUAGCUCCAUCUGGAUUCGAUCCCGACCAUCUGGGGUAAAAGCUGCUUUGACUACUCUCGUUACUUUGUAUUGGUGCAGGGUUGGCUCCGAUCACUUUUUGGCGUCGUUUCCGGGGAGCUUAUGAUUUUGGUGAUCUAUCUAAAUAGUUUUGUAUAUUGUUUUUCUUUGCUUAUGUGUUACUAAUCUGUGUGUGUCACAACUUCAGGUACAAAAUAGCGGCAAACAAUGCACCUCUUGGAUAUCUUCCGCCGGGGGAAGAGGUAGAUGACAUUAUUGAUGAUGAGAUUCCAAUUGUACCUCAAGCUCAAAAGAGAGGCCAUCGGGCCAAUGAAAAUAUUCUUGGCCCUUCCCCCACCUCCAAGAGUGGCCCCUCCAGUGCUUCACAACCAAGGAUAAGUGCAAUUGUCCCACCCCGAAUCUAGGUGAGCAAUUUUCAAAUUACUUAUGUGAUGCUGACAUUGUUGGAGCAGCGAGGGUAUUUUACAGGUGCUCCCACUCAGAAUGCUUACAAACAUCUCAACGGUUUUGUGGAUACCUAUUGGGGGAGCAAGCAAACUAAUGUGUUAGAGUAUGCACUUCGGUUGAGACUAUUCCUUUUCUUACUUAGAGGGAAGGCAUUGGAUUGGCUUGAAUGACUUCCCAACUAUUCCAUAUCUACUUGAGAUGAGUUGACGUAUAAAUUCAUUGCAAAGUUUCUCUCAUUGUGGCACAUGGCAGCAUUGAGAGAUGAGAUCUUAGCUUUCAAGCAAGAGCCCACCGAACCAUUACAUGAGAUUUGAGAGAGAUAUAGAACCAUGGUAAAGGAAUGCCCCAACAAUGAUAUGACUGAGGCAAUGAUACAACAGACUUUCUACCAUGGAAUUAACAUAACAAAUCAGUGUAUAGUGAACCAACUUACUCGGGGUAAUUUCAUGAAGCUAUCUUAUGAUGAGGCUUAUGACAUUAUUAACGAGAAGGCUGACACGUCCUCCGCUUGGCAAAGUAGAGCCAAUGUGCCACAGGGUGACCCCAUAGUCACUCACUUACACAAAGAGCUACAUGAUCAUGGGCAGGCUAUAGCAGAGUUGACAAGAACAAUGACCCAGUAAGCAAAGACACAAUUAUAGCCGAGUAAAUGCUAUGGAGGGUGUCAACAUGCUAGUGAACAAAAGAAGACAAAGAGUUCAACAUAACCAAGGGAGUUCAGAUCAAUUUGACAAUGAUUGUGGUGGAUUCCAAAAUGAUGGUAAUGAUGAGCAGAAUGAAGAAGUGUAAUAUGUGAACAAUUAUCAAGGCCAAAGGGACAAUUCUUCCAACCAAAAACAAUGGAGACCCCAAGGCAAUCGGGCAAUCAACAACAAUAAGGGAAUAGUAAUUGGGGGAACAACAACAAAAAUUCCAGUUGGGGAAAUCAGAACAAUCAGGGUAAUUGGAAUGGCAACAACAACAAUUGGGGUGGUAACAACAAUCAGGGUGGUUGGGACAAUGCCAAUCAAGGAAACCGGGGGCAAGGCUUUCAAAGGCCUCAAAUAUAUCAACAACCGUACAAUCUACCCCCAUUUCCGUCCCAAGGUCCUAGUUCUUCCAACAAUGAAAUGAGGAGAAUUGAAAUGAUGUUUCAACAAAGGAUGAAAAAGCCUGCAGACUCUAAUGCUCAAUUGUCUUCCCAUAAUACUUCAAUUAGAAACUUGGAGGUUCAAUUAGGCCAAAUCUCACAGUCUAUGAAUACUCGCCCUAAGAGGGCUCUACCAAGUGAUACGGUAUUUUAACCAAAGGGUAGGAACAAUCAAGUUAUGGAGGUGACUACGAGGAGUGGACGAGGUGGUGAUGCGCAUGCCUCCAAGCAUAGUGAAAUUUUAAGUGAUGAAGUUGAGUUGCAAGAAGAUGAGAUUGCUUUGGUGGUUGAAAAUGUGAUUGAUGAGAACGUGAAUGAGUAAGUGAGGAUUGAUAUCUAAGAUGCGGAGGUGGAAACUCAGAAUUACGUGAACCCGUCUAGGGAACACAUAAUAGACAUGCCAGAAAUGGUUAUGCCAAAAGCCAAGGCUCCUUUGCCAAGGCCACCUCUACCUUAUCCUCAAAGGCUCGAAAAGUAGAAAAAUAAGAAUAAGUUUAGAAAGUUUAUUGAUAUGGUGAAGAGCUUAUCCAUUAAUUUGCCUUUGGUGGAGGCUCUAGAGAAAAUGUCGGGUUAUGCUAAAUUCAUGAAGGACUUGGUGACAAAGAAAAGAUCCAUAUAUUGCGAAACUAUCAAGAUGAUCCACCAAGUGAGUGCAAUAGUGCACUCAAUGGCACCGAAGCUAGAAGAUCCCGGUGCUUUCACCAUUCCUUGUACCAUUGGGAGUGCAGAAUUUGCUAAUGCUCUAUGUGAUUGGGGGCGAGUAUCAACUUGAUGCCCUCCUAAGUUUUCAUGGCUUUGGGUAUUGAGUAACUGAGGUUGACUUCUAUAAGAUUGUAAAUGGCAGAUAGAACUAUAAAGAGGCCAUUAGGUAUUAUUGAUGAUGUUCUUACUCGGGUGAAAAAAUUGAUCUUGCCAGGUGAUUUUGUGAUCUUGGAUUGUGAGGUAGAUUAUGAGGUUUCAAUCAUAUUGGGAAGACCUAACCAUGAUACUGGGAAGGCCUUAGUUGAUGUGGAAGUAGGGGAAUUCACCUUCCGGUAGGUGAUGAGAAAGUGGUCUUUUAUGUGUGCAAUUCAAUGAAGCAACAGUUCUGAGGUGUGCUCCUUUGUGGACCUUGUCAUGGUAGUGAUAGUUGAUGAUACUAGUGCAAUGAUCAAUGUGGAGGACCCUAUAGAGGAUAAAAAUUUGAAUCUUGAUGUAAAUGACGAUGAAGGCUGAGUGGAGUUUGUGAAUGCUUUACAUAGAAUGAGCUCUCACUCUUAUGAGCCUAGGAAACUCUCUUUGGAUCUUGAGAAUAGGAAGACUCCACCAACAAAACGUGUGAAUGCUUUACAUUGAAUGGGCUCUUUCUCUUAUGAGCCUAGGAAACUCUCUUUGGAUCUUAAGGAUAGGAAGACUCCACCAACAAAACCUUCAAUUAAGGAACCUCCAGUGCUGGAGUUGAAGCCGUUUCCUCCACAACUCAGGUAUGAGUUCUUAGUCCCUAGUUCAACUUUGCCGGUUAUUAUUUCCUCUUGUCUUACUAACAUGUAGGUUGAUACCACAUUGAAGGUGCUCCAAAAGAAAAAAAAAAGGCAAUUGGAUAGACUUUAGCUGAUAUUCGGGAAAUAAGCCCCACAUUCUGUAUACAUAAGAUUAUUCUAGAAGAUGAUGCAAAGCCCUCAUUGGAACAUCAAAGGAGGUUGAAUGAGGCAAUGCAAGAAGUGUUGAAAAAAGAGGUGAUCAAGUGGUUGGAUGCUGGGGUUGUGUACCCUAUCUCUAAUAGCUCUUAGACUUUGCUGGGCGUGCCUUCUACUCUUUCUUGGAUGGAUAUUUUGGGUACAACCAAAUCUUGAUUGCUCUGAAAGAUCAAGAUAAGACCAUAUUCAUUUGUCCAUAUUGAACCUUUGCCUUUUC
RNAcentral lists this long non-coding RNA (6027 nucleotides) under Nicotiana benthamiana. RNAcentral describes it as "long non-coding RNA (NBEN_LNC006818)". The record is from RNAcentral. Lineage: Eukaryota; Viridiplantae; Streptophyta; Magnoliopsida; Solanales; Solanaceae.